UAAUUUGAACACUAUAUCUCACCACAUACUGUUUCUCAUUUAUUAUCCCUUUUUUUUUCUUAAAUAUGUAUUAUUGUAGAAGUAAAACGGGUGUAUUCAUGUAGUUCUACUUACAUAUGUCUUCAAAUGCUACUGACCAAAGUGUGCAACUAAUGAGAAGAAUGAACUAAUUUGAUGAAACAGGCAUCAUUGUAUUUAACGCGCAUUCAAUAUUUCACUCCGCACAGGUUCUGCGCGUGUAUCUGGGAUGUUUGAGCAGCUGGUCUCUCUUAACGGAGAGAGAUUUUCUCACAGGGUCUCUCUCCUGAGGAAACACCUCUGCCGCAUGUAAGAUGACCACACAUCUAGCACAAACCAAAUGCUUUCGUCCCACCACCCAUCUGUUUGCUGAAAUUUCCCCAUUCUUGAACGGACGCCAGUGCAGCCAUAGUUUGGCUUUGUGCGAACCUGUUUGUUUGGGCCGUAUACCCAGCAAAGCUUCUUCUGUCACAGAGCCGUCACUGUCUGUCCCUCUGCUCAACCUGGGGAGAUUCCUCAGGGAUGGAAUAAUCACAGCACCUCAUGACUGAUUUUCUGGAGUUCAGUGAUACAACUACACAGACUGUCAACACACUCUCAAUGGGUAAAUGAGUUCAUUCUAAAAUUUAAAUACAAAUUUAAGUUUCAAAUUUUAUCUGGUUUCCAAACAAACAUGUUCUUUUCUCUUUUUAGUUUUUUGGUCACAUGUAAGUGUGAGCAGCUCUUUUAAGCUGAGGAUACUUCUCUCCUCUUCUCCACUAAAUGCAUCACAUCCCACAUCCUCAUCAUCUGCAGAGAAACUGUCACUCAGUCACACCAUAAUGAUGGACUUAAAGGCAUAUGAAGAUAUUUCACUGGAACUUGGUCUUCAUCACAUCUAUUUUUUGUUUUUAUUUUGUUUUACUUCUUUGUGUAUUUAUUCAUGUUCAUUGUCAAUUGUCAUUUUUUGACAUUCAUUUUUUGUACAUUUUUUAUGUAUUCAGCUAAUAACUGUUGUUAAGAGCACAUUUUUGCUACAAUAUUACGUCAAUAA
Long non-coding RNA from Onychostoma macrolepis, 1051 nucleotides. RefSeq lists it as uncharacterized. The transcript is spliced from 3 exons. The record is from RefSeq and is a predicted model, not a curated record. Lineage: Eukaryota; Metazoa; Chordata; Actinopteri; Cypriniformes; Cyprinidae.